AUGGUUUUCCUUCAGGAAGAGAUGUCUUGGAACGUGCUGAUCUCACCGGACCAGCUGAGCCCCAAGGGCCUGCUGCUCCGCAAGUCCAUCAUCGUGCGUCUUCUGGAGGACGUCACCAACAGGAAGGCCUCCAAGGAGCAUGGCUACUACAUUGCUGUAAACGAGCUGAAGACAAUCUCUGAAGGGAAGGUUCGUGAGCUGACCGGAGACGUUCUUUUCCCGGUCACAUUCACCUGCAUCACCCAGAGGCCUAUGAAGGGGGAGAUCUUGGUCGGCUCCGUGGAGAAGAUCCUCAAGCACGGUGUCUUCCUCAAAUCGGGGCCGAUUGAAAGCAUCUUCCUGUCGGAGAAAUCGAUGAGCGACUACAAGUACAUGGGCGGCGAGAACCCCAUGUUCAUGAAUGACCACUCGAAGCUGGAGAGGGACACCGCUGUGCGCUUCAAGGUCAUGGGGUUCCGCUGGAUGGAGGCAGACCGCCAGUUCCAGCUCCUUGCGUCGCUGGCUGGUGAUUUCCUCGGGCCGCUGUGA
Molecule: ribosomal RNA, 528 nt
Filed under: Triticum aestivum (bread wheat)
Lineage: Eukaryota; Viridiplantae; Streptophyta; Magnoliopsida; Poales; Poaceae
Description: partial small subunit ribosomal RNA
Source: RNAcentral